UGGAGCCUACGGGAGGCAGCAGUGGGGAAUAUUGCACAAUGGGGGAAACCCUGAUGCAGCGACUCCGCGUGAGUGAAGAAGUAUUUCGGUAUGUAAAGCUCUAUCAGCAGGGAAGAAGUUGACGGUACCUGAGUAAGAAGCCCCGGCUAACUACGUGCCAGCAGCCGCGGUAAUACGUAGGGGGCAAGCGUUAUCCGGAUUUACUGGGUGUAAAGGGAGCGUAGACGGCAGUGCAAGUCUGAAGUGAAAGCCCCGGGCUUAACCCGGGAACUGCUUUGGAAACUGUACGGCUGGUGGGCUGGAGG
RNAcentral lists this ribosomal RNA (305 nucleotides) under uncultured bacterium. RNAcentral describes it as "bacterial SSU rRNA". It matches the Rfam family "Bacterial small subunit ribosomal RNA", at positions 333 to 655 of the family's 1533-position model. The record is from RNAcentral.